Molecule: ribosomal RNA, 432 nt
Filed under: uncultured bacterium
Lineage: Bacteria
Description: partial 16S ribosomal RNA
Rfam family: Bacterial small subunit ribosomal RNA
Source: RNAcentral
AACGAUCGCUGGCGGCAUGCCUAACACAUGCAAGUCGAACGAGACCUUCGGGUCUAGUGGCGCACGGGUGCGUAACGCGUGGGAACCUGCCCUAGGUUCGGAAUAACUCCCCGAAAGGGGUGCUAAUACCGGAUAAUGUCUUCGGACCAAAGAUUUAUCGCCUUUGGAUGGGCCCGCGUUGGAUUAGCUAGUUGGUAGGGUAAAAGCCUACCAAGGCGACGAUCCAUAGCUGGUCUGAGAGGAUGAUCAGCCACACUGGGACUGAGACACGGCCCAGACUCCUACGGGAGGCAGCAGUGGGGAAUAUUGGACAAUGGGCGAAAGCCUGAUCCAGCAAUGCCGCGUGAGUGAUGAAGGCCUUAGGGUUGUAAAGCUCUUUUACCCGGGAUGAUAAUGACAGUACCGGGAGAAUAAGCUCCGGCUAACUCCGUG